Molecule: long non-coding RNA, 443 nt
Organism: Alosa alosa (allis shad)
Lineage: Eukaryota; Metazoa; Chordata; Actinopteri; Clupeiformes; Clupeidae
Exons: 4
Source: RefSeq, a predicted model, not a curated record
UCCGUACAACUUUGUAGCACCACCAGAGAAAUUCUAAAUAGCCUAGGACGCUGGUAGUAGCACUGAGACAGACCACUGCUACAACAUCAAAAACUUGCUUACAGAAUACACAACGACCGUCUGGUUAAAAGGGCUCUUCUUCUUCAGAGCUUCUGCUUGGGUAGUGUCCUUGGAUCCCUCAUUCAGACGGAAUGGUGCAAUCAUGUCAUCGAAUGUCUUCAAACUAAAGUGGCAAUCCACAAUGAAUUUACCUGGCAGAGGUUGGUCUGGCAUUCAUAUCAGGAAUGACAUGGAUGUCAUCACAUUUGAUCCUGAAUUUCUUGAGGAGUAACACCAUCCUAGAGAACAAAAGAUGUAUCAUUUCACUGGGGAUGUGUCCAGAUGGUCUGUGUUUGGUGACCACUUACUCGUCUUUGUCUUGCUGGAUUCGGCCAGGCAGACCA